AUUGAACGCUGGCGGCAUGCCUUACACAUGCAAGUCGAACGGUAACGCGGGGCAACCUGGCGACGAGUGGCGAACGGGUGAGUAAAGCAUCGGAACGUGCCCAGUAGUGGGGGAUAGCCCGGCGAAAGCCGGAUUAAUACCGCAUACGACCUAUGGGUGAAAGGGGGGAUCGCAAGACCUCUCGCUAUUGGAGCGGCCGAUGUCAGAUUAGGUAGUUGGUGGGGUAAAGGCCUACCAAGCCGACGAUCUGUAGCUGGUCUGAGAGGACGACCAGCCACACUGGGACUGAGACACGGCCCAGACUCCUACGGGAGGCAGCAGUGGGGAAUUUUGGACAAUGGGCGCAAGCCUGAUCCAGCCAUGCCGCGUGCGGGAAGAAGGCCUUCGGGUUGUAAACCGCUUUUGUCAGGGAAGAAAUCCUUUGGGUUAAUACCUCGGGGGGAUGACGGUACCUGAAGAAUAAGCACCGGCUAACUACGUGCCAGCAGCCGCCGUAA
Molecule: ribosomal RNA, 497 nt
Filed under: uncultured bacterium
Lineage: Bacteria
Description: partial 16S ribosomal RNA
Rfam family: Bacterial small subunit ribosomal RNA
Source: RNAcentral